RNAcentral lists this ribosomal RNA (328 nucleotides) under uncultured eukaryote. RNAcentral describes it as "partial 18S ribosomal RNA". It matches the Rfam family "Eukaryotic small subunit ribosomal RNA", at positions 1470 to 1796 of the family's 1831-position model. The record is from RNAcentral.
CCCUUAGAUGUCCGGGGCUGCACGCGCGCUACACUGAAGGAAUCAGCGUGCUAAAACCAUUGUCGAAAGGCAUUGGUAAACCCAUUAAAAUCCUACGUGAUUGGGAUCGGGAAUUGCAAUUAUUUCCCUUGAACGAGGAAUUCCCAGUAAGUGUGGGUCAUAAGCUCGCGUUGAUUACGUCCCUGCCCUUUGCACACACCGCCCGUCGCUGCCCGGGACUGAGCCGUUUCGAGAAAAGCGGGGACUGCUGCUGUCGGGGCUUUCGGGCCUUGGCUUCGGUGGAAACCGCUUUAAUCGCAGUGGCUUGAACCGGGCAAAAGUCGUAACA